GGGGCUAAGGCCCCGCAUACGGAUGAGCCUGCGGUGCAUUAGCUAGUUGGUGAGGUAACGGCCCACCAAGGCGAUGAUGCAUAGCCGACCUGAGAGGGUGACCGGCCACAUUGGGACUGAGACACGGCCCAAACUCCUACGGGAGGCAGCAGUAGGGAAUUUUCGUCAAUGGGGGGAACCCUGAACGAGCAAUGCCGCGUGAGUGAAGAAGGUCUUCGGAUCGUAAAGCUCUGUUGUAAGAGAAAAACGGACUCCAUAGGGAAUGAUGGAGGAGUGAUGGUAUCUUACCAGAAAGCCACGGCUAACUAC
This 309-nucleotide ribosomal RNA is filed under the name uncultured bacterium. RNAcentral's name for it is "bacterial SSU rRNA". It matches the Rfam family "Bacterial small subunit ribosomal RNA", at positions 202 to 504 of the family's 1533-position model. The record is from RNAcentral.